CUACGUGCCAGCAGCCGCGGUAAUACGUAGGUCCCGAGCGUUGUCCGGAUUUAUUGGGCGUAAAGCGAGCGCAGGCGGUUAGAUAAGUCUGAAGUUAAAGGCUGUGGCUUAACCAUAGUACGCUUUGGAAACUGUUUAACUUGAGUGCAAGAGGGGAGAGUGGAAUUCCAUGUGUAGCGGUGAAAUGCGUAGAUAUAUGGAGGAACACCGGUGGCGAAAGCGGCUCUCUGGCUUGUAACUGACGCUGAGGCUCGAAAGCGUGGGGAGCAAACAGGAUUAGAUACCCUGGUAGUCCACGCCGUAAACGAUGAGUGCUAGGUGUUAGACCCUUUCCGGGGUUUAGUGCCGUAGCUAACGCAUUAAGCACUCCGCCUGGGGAGUACGACCGCAAGGUUGAAACUCAAAGGAAUUGACGGGGGCCCGCACAAGCGGUGGAGCAUGUGGUUUAAUUCGACGCAACGCGAAGAACCUUACCAGGUCUUGACAUUGAUGGACAGAACUAGAGAUAG
Molecule: ribosomal RNA, 509 nt
Filed under: uncultured bacterium
Lineage: Bacteria
Description: bacterial SSU rRNA
Rfam family: Bacterial small subunit ribosomal RNA
Source: RNAcentral